RNAcentral lists this ribosomal RNA (253 nucleotides) under uncultured bacterium. RNAcentral's name for it is "partial 16S ribosomal RNA". It matches the Rfam family "Bacterial small subunit ribosomal RNA", at positions 524 to 776 of the family's 1533-position model. The record is from RNAcentral.
UACGUAGGGGGCCAGCGUUGUCCGGAAUCAUUGGGCGUAAAGCGCGCGUAGGCGGUCAGGUAAGUCCGGUGUGAAAGUCAAAGGCUCAACCUUUGAAUGCCGCUGGAAACUGCCUGACUUGAGUCCGGGAGGGGCGAGUGGAAUUCCUGGUGUAGCGGUGAAAUGCGCAGAUAUCAGGAGGAACACCAAUGGCGAAGGCAGCUCGCUGGGACGUUACUGACGCUGAGACGCGAAAGCGUGGGGAGCAAACAGG